CAGCAGCCGCGUUAAUACAGAGGGUGCGAGCGUUAAUCGGAUUUACUGGGCGUAAAGCGUGCGUAGGCGGCUUUUUAAGUCGGAUGUGAAAUCCCUGAGCUUAACUUAGGAAUUGCAUUCGAUACUGGGAAGCUAGAGUAUGGGAGAGGAUGGUAGAAUUCCAGGUGUAGCGGUGAAAUGCGUAGAGAUCUGGAGGAAUACCGAUGGCGAAGGCAGCCAUCUGGCCUAAUACUGACGCUGAGGUACGAAAGCAUGGGGAGCAAACAGGAUUAGAUACCCGCGUAGUCCCUGUCUCUUAUAC
This 301-nucleotide ribosomal RNA is filed under the name uncultured bacterium. RNAcentral describes it as "partial 16S ribosomal RNA". It matches the Rfam family "Bacterial small subunit ribosomal RNA", at positions 509 to 807 of the family's 1533-position model. The record is from RNAcentral.